UGAAGAUACCACUGGUGGCCGGCUUCCACCUGUUCAAAAAGAAAGAAGCGCCAUGAUGUCCCUUGGGAUGGGUGGCAAAUUUGAAUGGAAAGUGUCCACUGUGUAAACAGAAAGAAAAACUCACCUUGGACAAGGUCACACACCUUGUAGAGUGCAUCUACUUUCAUGAUGAAGCCAUCCACUCCAGGCAUGCUGCUGACUGGGUGGAAAUCGGGCAUCUCGGAGGCAAAGCAGGCAUCAAACGGAACAUCGUGGAAAUAUUUGUCGGUCACUUCUGGUUGAUUCCGGUCCUGCAGUUGGAAGAAAGCAGCAGGUGAUGACAAGUGCAGGGUAUUCAUGAGCCAUCGUGCACUGCCAGAGACAUUUGCAGGGAUAUUGUCACCAGCUUCAUCUCAUCUGAGCUACACGACAGUACAACUGACAGUAAGGUUGUGCCAAUAUUUCCUCUUCAAGCAGGGAAAAGAACAUUGUAUGUCUCAGGAGCCAUACUGUGAAGACGUCUUGACAGAAGGAGUGAGAUUUUUUUAAUGCUUUUAAACAA
Long non-coding RNA from Hemicordylus capensis (graceful crag lizard), 541 nucleotides. RefSeq lists it as uncharacterized. Lineage: Eukaryota; Metazoa; Chordata; Lepidosauria; Squamata; Cordylidae. The transcript is spliced from 3 exons. The record is from RefSeq and is a predicted model, not a curated record.